AUGAACGCUGGCGGCGUGCCUAAUACAUGCAAGUCGAGCGAACGGACGAGAAGCUUGCUUCUCUGAUGUUAGCGGCGGACGGGUGAGUAACACGUGGAUAACCUACCUAUAAGACUGGGAUAACUUCGGGAAACCGGAGCUAAUACCGGAUAAUAUUUUGAACCGCAUGGUUCAAAAGUGAAAGACGGUCUUGCUGUCACUUAUAGAUGGAUCCGCGCUGCAUUAGCUAGUUGGUAAGGUAACGGCUUACCAAGGCAACGAUGCAUAGCCGACCUGAGAGGGUGAUCGGCCACACUGGAACUGAGACACGGUCCAGACUCCUACGGGAGGCAGCAGUAGGGAAUCUUCCGCAAAGGGCGAAAGCCUGACGGAGCAACGCCGCGUUAGUGAUGAAGGUCUUCGGAUCGUAAAACUCUGUUAUUAGGGAAGAACAUAUGUGUAAGUAACUGUGCACAUCUUGACGGUACCUAAUCAGAAAGCCACGGCUAACUACGUG
This 496-nucleotide ribosomal RNA is filed under the name uncultured bacterium. RNAcentral's name for it is "partial 16S ribosomal RNA". It matches the Rfam family "Bacterial small subunit ribosomal RNA", at positions 29 to 507 of the family's 1533-position model. The record is from RNAcentral.